UAGUGAGUAACAUUGUUAAUCCCUGUAGUAUCUCAGCACUAUGUCCUAGUGAGUAACAUUGUUAAUCCCUGUAAUAUCUCAGCACUAUGUCCUAGUGAGUAACAUUGAUAAUCCCUGUAAUAUCUCAGCACUAUGUCCUAGUGAGUAACAUUGUUAAUCCCUGUAAUAUCUCAGCACUAUGUCCUAGUGAGUAACAUUGAUAAUCCCUGUAAUAUCUCAGCACUAUGUCCUAGUGAGUAACAUUGUUAAUCCCUGUAAUAUCUCAGCACUAUGUUCUAGUGUGUUAGUGGUGAGUAACAUUGAUAAUCCCUGUAAUAUCUCAGCACUAUGUUCUAGCGUGUUAGUAGUGAGUAACAUUGUUAAUCCCUGUAAUAUCUCAGCACUAUGUCCUAGUGAGUUACUCAGUAACAUUGAUAAUCCCUGUAAUAUCUCAGCACUAUGUUCUAGCGUGUUAGUGGUGAGUAACAUUGUUAAUCCCUGUAAUAUCUCAGCACUAUGUCCUAGUGUGUUACUCAGUAACAUUGAUAAUCCCUGUAGUAUCUCAGCACUAUGUCCUAGUGAGUAACAUUGUUAAUCCCUGUAAUAUCUCAGCACUAUGUUCUAGUGAGUAACAUUGUUAAUCCCUGUAAUAUCUCAACACUAUGUCCUAGUGUGUUACUCAGUAACAUUGAUAAUCCCUGUAAUAUCUCAGCACUAUGUCCUAGUGAGUAACAUUGUUAAUCCCUGUAAUAUCUCAGCACUAUGUCCUAGUGAGUAACAUUGAUAAUCCCUGUAAUAUCUCAGCACUAUGUUCUAGCGUGUUAGUAGUGAGUAACAUUGUUAAUCCCUGUAAUAUCUCAGCACUAUGUCCUAGUGUGUUACUCAGUAACAUUGAUAAUCCCUGUAAUAUCUCAGCACUAUGUUCUAGUGUGUUAGUGGUGAGUAACAUUGUUAAUCCCUGUAAUAUCUCAGGGAUUGUUCAUAGUGAGUAACAUUGUUAAUCCCUGUAAUAUCUCAGCACUAUGUUCUAGUGUGUUAGUAGUGAGUAACAUUGAUAAUCCCUGUAAUAUCUGAUAACAUAAUGCGUCUGGAUUGCAGGUGGUAUUUCACAUUUCAGUCGGUCAACAUCAGUGAUGUUUAGCAUUAAAAUGCACAACAGUAUAGAACAACACAUAUUUAUCUGGGGUAAAGAACCGUCACGUCAUCAU
Long non-coding RNA from Oncorhynchus tshawytscha (Chinook salmon), 1187 nucleotides. The record is from Ensembl. NCBI's taxonomy places the organism in Eukaryota, Metazoa, Chordata, Actinopteri, Salmoniformes, Salmonidae.